CCUGCAGGGCCGGGUACAGGGCCUGGAGAGAGGGCCCAGCGGCAGGAAUGCAGGGAAUGUUUUUCUUCGGACUCUGUCGAGGCACACAGACCGUCGGGGUUCUGUCUGCAGUGACAGCCUUAACAUUUGCCAGAGCCUCGGACGCUGCUAUAGAAAUGGCAUUGCCCACCCUGAAAGUGAGAAGCGCAGAUUAGAGAAACGCAGGGAACUCGAGAGCAACUAUUCUGCCUCCAGGAUCAACCUUGCACCGAAGAAAAAUAACCCAGAGAAAUUAUUCUUCAGCCUGAAACGAAGCCAGGAUCAAAUGGUUGGUGAUCAGAGCAAAUAUUUAAAUUGGAUAAGUCAAAUCGAGCAUUAUUAAAUAAAGCUUGUUUAAUAUGUCUCGAACAGA
This is a long non-coding RNA of Trichechus manatus latirostris (Florida manatee), 391 nucleotides long. RefSeq lists it as uncharacterized. The record is from RefSeq and is a predicted model, not a curated record. The transcript has 2 exons. Lineage: Eukaryota; Metazoa; Chordata; Mammalia; Sirenia; Trichechidae.